AACGAACGCUGGCGGCAGGCCUAACACAUGCAAGUCGAGCGCCCAGCAAUGGGAGCGGCAGACGGGUGAGUAACGCGUGGGAACCUUCCCAAUGGUACGGAAUAGCUCAGGGAAACUUGAGGUAAUACCGCAUAAGCCCGAAGGGGAAGAUUAUCGCCAUUGGAUGGGCCCGCGUAGGAUUAGCUAGUUGGUGAGGUAAUGGCUCACCAAGGCGACGAUCCUUAGCUGGUUUGAGAGAAUGACCAGCCACACUGGGACUGAGACACGGCCCAGACUCCUACGGGAGGCAGCAGUGGGGAAUCUUGGACAACGGGCGAAAGCCUGAUCCAGCCAUGCCGCGUGAGUGACGAAGGUCUUCGGAUUGUAAAGCUCCUUUGCCCAGGGACGAUAAUGACGGUACCUGGAGAAUAAGCCCCCGGNUAACUUCGUGCCAGCCGCCG
This 440-nucleotide ribosomal RNA is filed under the name uncultured bacterium. RNAcentral describes it as "bacterial SSU rRNA". It matches the Rfam family "Bacterial small subunit ribosomal RNA", at positions 29 to 517 of the family's 1533-position model. The record is from RNAcentral.